RNAcentral lists this ribosomal RNA (254 nucleotides) under uncultured bacterium. RNAcentral describes it as "partial 16S ribosomal RNA". It matches the Rfam family "Bacterial small subunit ribosomal RNA", at positions 524 to 776 of the family's 1533-position model. The record is from RNAcentral.
UACGAGGGGGGCAAGCGUUGUUCGGAAUUAUUGGGCGUAAAGGGUGCGUAGGCGGUUUGGUAAGUCUUAUGUGAAAUCUACAGGCUCAACUUGUAGUCUGCAUGAGAAACUGCCGGGCUUGAGUAUGGGAGAGGUGAGUGGAAUUCCUGGUGUAGCGGUGAAAUGCGUAGAUAUCAGGAGGAACACCUGUGGCGAAAGCGGCUCACUGGACCAUAACUGACGCUGAUGCACGAAAAGCUAGGGGAGCAAACAGG